CUGAUAUUUAAGUUGGGGUGGGGACAUGGUGAUGACGUCACGUCUCCUUAAAGCUCAAAGACCUCCCAUUGGACGGGAGGAGGCUUUUUAAAGGAGCAGUCAGCGGAGAAGCGGAGGCUCCGGUCACCUUCAGACGGCUCUCCGGCUCACCACCCCGGCGGGACGGGACGUGAGAAGCUUCGGUGGGGGUUUGGACUCUCGUUUAUCAGAUGACGCGAUGAAGACGAGGAGGCGUUUAAAUGCAGAUAUCAACAGGGCAAGAAACACUUUGUUAGCAUCUUCCUGGUGCACCUUCUCAUUCCUCCGUGGUAUUUAGAGCGCACCUGAAGGUCAAGAGAAAGCGAGAGCGACGAAAAGCUGCGAUGAAGAGAAAGGAAAAGAACGGGAAUGCUCUGCGACCCGUACAAUGCGAGCACAUUGUUGGCCCGGCAUUGUGUGAGCGAAAGCAGGCAGCCGGCACCCCGGAGAGCAUCAAUGGCUCCAGUAACGUAAACUUGGUGCCAGCACAAGCUGUCACUCCCAGUAUUGUUGGCUCUGACAGCUCCUCUGAUGAGGGCAUUGUAAGGAGACAGACUCGGAACGCCAGAACGUGGAGGCUGCAUGUGUUUACAACAGAGUGAUAAAGAUGUAGAUGUAAAGCUGUGGCUACAACAAGGCCUGUCUGACUUUAAUAGGAGAAGGGAAGCGGGAGAUUUUUUUUUUUUUUUUUUACUUGGCAAUGCUUGAAAGUUUUUAUGUAGAUUGUCGACUCACAUGUUUACAAUGAGUGAUUAGUGAUUAGUGACUCAAGUUCGAUUCCCACUCGGGCAUCUCAGCUGGGAUAGGCUCCAGCACCCCCGUGACGCUCGUGAGGAUAAGCGGUAGAAAAUGAAUGAAUGUCUCCAAAUGACAUUAAUACAAAAAAUAAUAAUAACAUUAAAAAUAACAGCAUGCACAGUGGACAAGUGGUUCGCGCGCAGGCCACACAGCUCAGAGAUUCAAGCUCGAUUCCCCACUCGGGCAUCUCAGCUGGGAUAGGCUCCAGCACCCCCUGACCCUCGUGAGGAUAAGCGGUAGAAAAUGAAUGAAUGUCUCCAAAUGACAUUAAUACAAAAAAAUAAUAAUGACAUUAAAAACAACAGCAUGCACAGUGGUAAGUGGUUUACACGCAGGCCACACAGCUCAGAAACUCAGGUUUGAUUCCCCGCUCAGGCAUCUCUGUGUGCAGUUCACAUGUUCUCCCCGUGGGUUUUCUCCGGGUACUCCGUUUUCCUCCCACAUUCCAAAAACAUGCUAGGUUAAUUGGCGACUCCAAAUUGUCCAUAGGUAUGAAUGUGAGUGUGAAUGGUUGUUUGUCUAUAUGUGCCCUGUGAUUGGCUGACUCCUACCCUCUCACCCAAAGACAGCUGGGAUAGGCUCCAGCACCCCCGUGACCCUCGUGAGGAUAAGCAACAAAAUAACAACAUGGCUGCACAGUGUAGGAGUGGUUAGCGCGCAGGCCACACAGCUCAGAGAUUUUUGUUCGAUUCCCCACUCGGUCAUCUCUGUGUGCAGUUCACAUGUUCUCCCCGUGGGUUUUCCCCCGGAUACUGUGGUUUCCUCCCGCAUUCCAAAAACAUGCUAGGUUAAUUAGCGACUCCAAAUUGUCCAUAGGUAUGAAUGUGAGUGUGAAUGGUUGUUUGUCUAUAUGUGCCCUGUGAUUGGCUGGCGACCAGUCCAGGGAGUACCCCACCUCUCACCCAGAAUCAGCUAGUGGAUCCUAGUGGACACCAUCCAUUCUCUGCGAUAUGAAUUUUUCCAAUGCAGCAGUAAUGACAUAGGAAUUUACUUUUAUGAAAUAUCGGACAGCGGCUUUAUGAUGGGUUUUGGGCUUGUUUGAGACUCGACUUGUGUUGUGUGUUGUACUUCGCCUACAAGCGUAUAAAAAAAGGCUCAGCAAGAAGAGAGCAGAUAUGAAUUGAAAGAUAUUGAAGCAGGGACUAAAGAGCUGUAUGUGUUCAUGCUGGCGUAUGCGUAUUGGUGUGUGUUCUUUUCAGGUCUUAAGAGCUCUUAUGGCCGAGCGAUAAAAUAUAGAGCAUAGCACUCCCCGACCUUGACGGUCAUUUCAUCUACCUCCAAAUGUCACAAUUUCACAGACCUUUGUUGCAUCUUGUCUGUGCUUGUGUGUGUGUGAGGGGGAAGUAGGGACAAGUCACUUUUGGUCCUUUUCCAUAAGCAGCACACCUACAGACAUUAUAUAUGAAGACCAUACAUACAUUUUCUGUGAGGGAGAGUGGACUGUAUGUGUGUUAGGUAGGUUCAGCACUGGAGAACCUCAUCCACACCAGAACCCUGGUCAGAGAGUGAGUCCGGACACAGUAGCAGAACUGUGUGAACUUUAUUACUUUACAGUCCAAUUUCCAUCCAACAGAUUAAUUUGUGAGUCGUAUAUCUUAAUGGGUCUGGUUUCUGUAAUGAAUAAUAAUAAUAAAUAAUAAUACAUUUUAUUUAUGUAGCGCUUUUCAGAGCACUCAAAGACGCAUUACAGUAGAGAAAAAAAAAAUAAAAAUAGAGUUGAGUAAAAACAGAGUAAAAGAUGCAUUAAAAUACAAUAACCAGACAUUAAUUCAUUCAUUCACUUUCUACCGCUUUUCCUUACGAGGGUCGCAGGGGUGCUGGAGCCUAUCCCAGCUGUCUUCGGGCAAGAGGCGGGGUACACCCUGGUUUGUGGCCAGCCAAUCACAGGGCACAUAUAGACAAACAAGCAUUCACACUCACAUUCAUACCUAUGGACAAGAUCAAAAAUUGACAAAAUAAAAUACAAAAAAUUUUUAAAAAAAUGUAAAUAUUAAAAAAUGUAAAUUUAAAACAAUUUGAUUAAAAUUUAAAACAAUUUAAUUAAAAUUUUAAUUAAAUUUAAUUUAAAUUUAAAAAAACUUCAACUAUAUUAUGAAAGCAGGAAGUGAAUGUAACAGUUACUGAUUGUAAAAGUACCAGAUGGAGGGGUAGGAUUUAAUAAGCUUUGCUUCUUCCUACUCCUUUUGGACAUGUGGAACUGUGAACUGAUUAUGUGAUGCAUUCAAUUGUAAUUUGAUGCAUGUUCAAAUGAAAUAAAACCAUUACCAUUACCAAUUAACCUAGCAUGUUUUUGGAAUGUGGGAGGAAACCGGGAGAACAUGCAAACUCCACACAGAGAUGUCCGAGGGUGGAAUUGAACUCGGCUCUCCUAGCUGUAAGGUCUGCGCGCUAACCACUGCUCCGCCGUGCAGCCUUCCAAACAUUGAUUCAGAGCUAAAACAAGGCUAAAAGCGGGGUGGGGCGCAACAGUCAUGUAUAAAAAGUUAGACAUUAAAAAUGGAUUUAAACAGGUGGGUUUUGAGUUGUUUUUUAAUGAACAUUAGCAUAAAUGCAAGUCACAAGUUUAGAACAGCACAUGCUAAUUUACACACACACACACACACACACAUAUACUGUAUUUGGAAAGGGCGGCAACAGGUUAGCUAGCACUUGAACUGUCAGUAGAAUACACUGGCGAACACAAAACAAUGGCCGGUAUUCGCCAACUAAUUUGCAUAUAAAUAAUGAUCGCGAACGAUCGUUAACGGCCCAUUAACUUACCUUCAUCACGAACGCAGACAGACAUAUACAGUACGAGAGCAAACGCCUUGUGACGUACCGAAUGGCUAGCUGUAGUCCAGUCCUACUGAGGACCCCUUAGUUGCCCCGCAAGUUGCCUGGUACAAACUCAAGUCUGCCCUGAACAGUGCCUGUACAAAACAUUACAUUAACAAUGAGAUUACAUUAACAACUGCUGCGGAAAGUUUGUUUUUGAUUCAAACUAAAUUUCAAGACUGGACAAAGGAAAAACUGGCAAUACAGAGUUAUUCCAACAAGUGAAAGAAAAACUUGAGGAAGUCGGUAUCACGUGAUGUUGGUGUUUACGUUUUAUUCAUUCAUUCAUUUUCUACCGCUUUUCCAGCUGUCUUCGGGCGAGAGGUGGGAUACACCCUGGACUAGUGGCCAGCCAAUCACAGGGCACAUAUAGACAAACAACCAUUCACACUCACAUUCAUACCUAUGGACAAUUUAGAGUCGCUAAUUAACCUAGCAUGUUUUUCGAAUGUGGGAGGAAACCGGAGUACCAGGAGAAAACCCACGCAUGCACGGGGAGAACAUGCAAAUUCCACACAAAGAUGGCCGAGGGUGGGAUUGAACCCUGAUCUCCUAGCUGUGAGGUCUGCGCGCUAACCACUCAACCACCAUGCCGCCCGUCUGUAAAAUUAAACAAUAAAAAAAAAUCCAAAAAUUGUUACAACUAUAAUGAUGAAAAUGGUAAUAUUAAUGAUGAUUAUAAUAAUGGUGAUAAUAAUAAUAAUAAUGCUAAAAAUUAUAACAAUAAUGAUAAUAACAAUAAUAAUAUUACAAUGAUAAUAAUAACAGGGGAAAACAAGACUAUGCAAAAAGGGGUAGGCAUUUAUAAGCUUUUGCUUCAGCAUACAAUACAAAUGUAAAUAAUGUAAAGUUAUAUUUUGAUUGAUGUAAGAAAUGCACUGUAAUGUUUCAUAUAUUUGCCUAAAUAAAAUUAAAAAAAAUAAAAAUAAAAUAAAUCAAAAAUAAUGACGUAGCAGUGCAAUAUUGGCUAAUAUUGUGGUGCAUUUUUCUGCUAUUAAAGUAUAGAAUAAAAAGCGAUAUACCAACAGCAAGGUCAGAUGAUGCUUGAAUUAUUAACAGGAAAUAGGAAGUAGCCGAGUUUGUUUAUAAAAAAAAAGCCAUUACCAUUUCAUUUCCAGGAUAUUUGACAUUCACAGCACAGCCUGAACCGCCAGAUUGUUGCCGUCGGUUGUCUCGACUCAAAAAAACAACAUGAAAACAGUUAAAUCGCAAUCAUUUUUGCACCUUCUAGUUUACUUUAUAUUCAUUUUUUUUAUGUUUUCACUUCACUUAUGCUCUUACUCCCUUUCAUCCUUCCUGUCCUUUACUUUCUCUUCUCAUGUACGUCCUUUUAUCCCCGCUUUUCGCCUUCAUUCCUUCCCUCCCUCUCCUUUAUCUUCCUUAUCCUGCGGAGAUCCAGCUUUAUUGCUCGACCUUUAGAUACCAAUACCGGAAGAUUAAACUUGUGUGUUUUAGUGUUCUGUUAUUAAAAGAGACGCUCCGCCACACAACUGUGUGCGGUGCCGUGUGUACAUACGGUACUUGUCGCCACGCUGUAGCUCAUCUUGUAGGAUUUGCAUCUGCUCCGAGGUAAGAAUUUGGGUUUGCCGUGGCGCUUAUUAGCGGCUGUGAAGCUCCUGAAUGAAUUGAACAAAAUUGCUUUGUUUCUCAGCAGGUUAGAUAUCAUCUCACCUUGAUGCUUGGUGCAAACACAGGUGUGUGUCUUUCUCUUGUUUUAUCUCUCAAUAAUUCAUGAGUGGAGUGUAAUGUGCAAGCAUGAUGCUAUUGAUGCUUCGACACUUUAUACGCUUUAUAUAAUAUAUUUGUUACAUGAUAAAUGUGUACCUGGCGGCGGUUGGUGCUAAAAUCUGUGAUGAAGUGUGACACAUUGUGGAAGACUAGUGAUUUUGUUGUUGUACGUUUGCAUCUUGACAACAAGUCACAGUCUACCUCACUGGGCCUCAUACGUACAUCCUUCCUAACACGUAACAUGGUAAUGGUAAUGGUUUUAUUUCAUUUGAACAUGCAUCAGAUUACAAUUGAAUGCAUCACAUAAUCAGUUCACAGUUCCACAUGUCCAAAAGGAGUAGGAAGAAGCAAAGCUUAUUAAAUCCUACCCCUCCAUCUGGUACUUUUACAAUCAGUAACUGUUACAUUUGUUCACUUCCUGCUUUCCUAAUAUGGUUUAAUGUUAUUUUUAAUUUUUAAUUUUUAAUUUUUAAUUUUUAAUUUUUAAUUUUUAAUUUUUAAUUUUUAAUUUUUAAUUUUUAAUUUUUAAUUUUUAAUUUUUAAUUUUUAAUUUUUAAUUUUUAAUUUUUAAUUUAAUUGUUCUAUCAAUCGAUCUCUCUCUCUCUCUCUCUCUCUAUCUAUCUAUCUAUCUAUCUAUCUAUCUAUCUAUCUAUCUAUCUAUCUAUCUAUCUAUCUAUCUAUCUAUCGAUCUCUCUCUCUCUCUCUCUCUCCCUCUACCUCUCCCUCUCCCUCUCCCUCCCUCUCUCUCUCUCUCUCCCUCCCUCUCUCUCUCUCUCUCUCUCUCUCUAUAUCUAUCUCUCUAUCUCUCUCUAUCGCUCUCUCUCUAUAUCUAUCUAUCUAUCUAUCUAUCUAUCUAUCUAUCUAUCUAUCUAUCUAUCUAUCUAUCUCCCUCUCUCCCUCUCUCCAUCUAUCAUCAGUCUAUCUAUCUAUCUAUCUAUCUAUCUAUCUAUCUAUCUAUCUAUCUAUCUAUCUAUCUAUCUAUCUAUCUAUCUAUCUAUCUAUCUAUCUAUCUAUCUAUCUAUCUAUCUAUCUAUCUAUCUAUCUAUCUAUCUAUCUAUCUAUCUAUCUAUCUAUCUAUCUAUCUAUCU
This is a non-coding RNA of Doryrhamphus excisus (bluestripe pipefish), 6446 nucleotides long. NCBI's taxonomy places the organism in Eukaryota, Metazoa, Chordata, Actinopteri, Syngnathiformes, Syngnathidae. The record is from RefSeq and is a predicted model, not a curated record.